This 84-nucleotide ribosomal RNA is filed under the name Glabrella longipes. RNAcentral's name for it is "partial 5.8S ribosomal RNA". It matches the Rfam family "5.8S ribosomal RNA", at positions 76 to 154 of the family's 154-position model. Rfam says of the family: 5.8S ribosomal RNA (5.8S rRNA) is a component of the large subunit of the eukaryotic ribosome. The record is from RNAcentral. Lineage: Eukaryota; Viridiplantae; Streptophyta; Magnoliopsida; Lamiales; Gesneriaceae.
AGAAUCCCGUGAACCAUCGAGUCUUUGAACGCAAGUUGCGCCCGAAGCCAUCUGGCCGAGGGCACGUCUGCCUGGGCGUCACGC